Molecule: transfer RNA, 76 nt
Filed under: Oscillospiraceae bacterium
Lineage: Bacteria; Bacillati; Bacillota; Clostridia; Eubacteriales; Oscillospiraceae
Also listed under: 1 other name
Description: tRNA-Gln
Rfam family: tRNA
About the family: Transfer RNA (tRNA) molecules are approximately 80 nucleotides in length. Their secondary structure includes four short double-helical elements and three loops (D, anti-codon, and T loops).
Source: RNAcentral
UGGGGUGUAGCCAAGCGGUAAGGCACUUGACUCUGACUCAAGCAUCUCCGGGGUUCGAAUCCCUGCACCCCAACCA